Non-coding RNA from Podarcis lilfordi (Lilford's wall lizard), 73 nucleotides. Lineage: Eukaryota; Metazoa; Chordata; Lepidosauria; Squamata; Lacertidae. The record is from the annotation of a GenBank genome assembly.
GCUGGAAUAGCUCAGUCGGCAGAGCAUGAAACCCUUAAUCUCAGGGUCGUAGAUUCGAGCCCCACAUUGGGUG